Non-coding RNA from Schistosoma margrebowiei, 49 nucleotides. The record is from Rfam. Lineage: Eukaryota; Metazoa; Platyhelminthes; Trematoda; Strigeidida; Schistosomatidae.
AUCCAGCUGACGAGUUUCAAAAUAAAACGAAAUGGCGCAAGUCCUGGAU